This 460-nucleotide ribosomal RNA is filed under the name uncultured soil bacterium C0150. Its description in RNAcentral is "bacterial SSU rRNA". It matches the Rfam family "Bacterial small subunit ribosomal RNA", at positions 281 to 740 of the family's 1533-position model. The record is from RNAcentral.
CGGUACGGGGGUGUGAGAGCAUGCCCCCGCUCANUGGGANUGAGACACUGCCCAGACACNUACGGGUGGCUGCAGUCGAGGAUCUUCGGCAAUGGGCGCAAGCCUGACCGAGCGACGCCGCGUGUGGGAUGAAGGCCUUUGGGUUGUAAACCACUGUCAGUGGGGAGGAAGGCUCCGUGAAGAACGGGGUUUGACCUAUCCGCAGAGGAAGUGUGGGCUAAGUUCGUGCCAGCAGCCGCGGUAAGACGAACCACACGAACGUUAUUCGGAAUUACUGGGCUUAAAGGGUGCGUAGGCUGUGCGGAAAGUUAGGUGUGAAAUCCCCCGGCUCAACCGGGGAAUUGCGCUUAAAACUACCGUGCUAGAGGAAGACAGAGGUGAGCGGAACUUCGGGUGGAGCGGUGAAAUGCGUUGAUAUCCGAAGGAACACCGGUGGCGAAAGCGGCUCACUGGUCUUUUC